UACGGAGGAUCCGAGCGUUAUCCGGAUUUAUUGGGUUUAAAGGGAGCGUAGAUGGAUGUUUAAGUCAGUUGUGAAAGUUUGCGGCUCAACCGUAAAAUUGCAGUUGAUACUGGAUAUCUUGAGUGCAGUUGAGGCAGGCGGAAUUCGUGGUGUAGCGGUGAAAUGCUUAGAUAUCACGAAGAACUCCGAUUGCGAAGGCAGCCUGCUAAGCUGCAACUGACAUUGAGGCUCGAAAGUGUGGGUAUCAAACA
RNAcentral lists this ribosomal RNA (251 nucleotides) under uncultured bacterium. RNAcentral describes it as "partial 16S ribosomal RNA". It matches the Rfam family "Bacterial small subunit ribosomal RNA", at positions 524 to 774 of the family's 1533-position model. The record is from RNAcentral.